This 201-nucleotide small nuclear RNA is filed under the name Corchorus capsularis. RNAcentral's name for it is "U2 spliceosomal RNA". It matches the Rfam family "U2 spliceosomal RNA". Rfam says of the family: U2 is a small nuclear RNA (snRNA) component of the spliceosome (involved in pre-mRNA splicing). Lineage: Eukaryota; Viridiplantae; Streptophyta; Magnoliopsida; Malvales; Malvaceae. The record is from Rfam by way of RNAcentral.
AUACCAUUUUGGGCCUUUUGGAUAAGAUCAAGUGUAGUAUCUGUUCUUAUAAGUUUAAUAUCUGAUAACCCGAACCUACGGAUUCAGUGGCAAGCUUAUAGGUUUUACCUAUAUGGUUGCCUUGAUUCAGGGGCAAGCUUAUAGGUUUUACCUAUAUGGUUGCCUUGAUAUUAAUUUUUUUAUAGGGAAAGGCCCUUGAUA